RNAcentral lists this ribosomal RNA (253 nucleotides) under uncultured bacterium. Its description in RNAcentral is "partial 16S ribosomal RNA". It matches the Rfam family "Bacterial small subunit ribosomal RNA", at positions 524 to 776 of the family's 1533-position model. The record is from RNAcentral.
UACGGAGGGCGCAAGCGUUGUUCGGAAUCAUUGGGCGUAAAGCGCGUGUCGGCGGUCUGGUCAGUCGGGUGUGAAAUACCGGAGCUCAACUCCGGAACUGCAUUCGAUACUGCCAGGCUAGAGUCCCGGAGAUGGUGGUGGAAUUCCCGGUGUAGAGGUGAAAUUCGUAGAUAUCGGGAGGAACACCAGCGGCGAAGGCGGCCACCUGGACGGUGACUGACGCUGAGACGCGAAAGCGUGAGGAGCAAAUAGG